This is a non-coding RNA of Biomphalaria pfeifferi, 333 nucleotides long. Lineage: Eukaryota; Metazoa; Mollusca; Gastropoda; Planorbidae. The record is from the annotation of a GenBank genome assembly.
UUGUGCAUGUUCAAAAACAUUUUCUAUUAUAUGUAGACAGGUUUGUCAUGGUUAGUAACAUGAAUAAUAUAUAACGGUUAUCUAAUAUGACCAAAAACAUCUUUAAAAAUAAUUGAGUUUGAUGACUAUGUUUUUGUCCAUUGUCAAAAUAAGUAAGUCUAUAAAAUUGUAUUUGAAAAACAAACUAAUUAAAUUAAAUGUGUUAAGUUUCCCUUAUUAUGAUGUAACUUAAAUAGGCUUCAAAAAGUUUUCAUUUUGAAUAACUAACUCAAUAGGCUUCAAAAAGUUUUCAUUUUGAAUAAGUAACUCAAUAGGCUUCAAAGAAUUUUCAUU